UGGGGAAUUUUGGACAAUGGGCGAAAGCCUGAUCCAGCAAUGCCGCGUGUGUGAAGAAGGCCUUCGGGUUGUAAAGCACUUUUGUCCGGAAAGAAAUCCUUGGCUCUAAUACAGUCGGGGGAUGACGGUACCGGAAGAAUAAGCACCGGCUAACUACGUGCCAGCAGCCGCGGUAAUACGUAGGGUGCAAGCGUUAAUCGGAAUUACUGGGCGUAAAGCGUGCGCAGGCGGUUUGCUAAGACCGAUGUGAAAUCCCCGGGCUCAACCUGGGAACUGCAUUGGUGACUGGCAGGCUAGAGUAUGGCAGAGGGGGGUAGAAUUCCACGUGUAGCAGUGAAAUGCGUAGAGAUGUGGAGGAAUACCGAUGGCGAAGGCAGCCCCCUGGGCCAAAUACUGACGCUCAUGCACGAAAAGCGUGGGGGAGCAAACAGGAUUAGAUACCCUGGUAGUCCACGCCCUAAAACGAUGUCAACUAGUUGUUGGGGAUUCAUUUCCUUAGUAACGUAGCUAACGCGUGAAGUUGACCGCCUGGGGGAGUACGGUCGC
RNAcentral lists this ribosomal RNA (546 nucleotides) under uncultured bacterium. Its description in RNAcentral is "partial 16S ribosomal RNA". It matches the Rfam family "Bacterial small subunit ribosomal RNA", at positions 355 to 889 of the family's 1533-position model. The record is from RNAcentral.